UUGGAGGCNCUGCCUGCCCNGUGACNNNNGUUUAACGGCCGCGGUNUCCUGACCGUGCAAAGGUAGCAUAAUCACUUGUUCUCUAAAUAAGGACUUGUAUGAANGGCCACACGAGGGUUUNNCUGUCUCUUACUUCCAAUCAGUGAAAUUGACCUCCCCGUGAAGAGGCGGGAAUAAAUUAAUAAGACGAGAAGACCCUAUGGAGCUUUAACUAACCAAUCCAAAGAAAACAGACUAAAUAACUCAGGAAAUAACAACGUCUUCUUAUGAUUUGACAGUUUCGGUUGGGGUGACCUCGGAGAAUAAAAAAUCCUCCGAACGAUUUUAAAGACUAGACCUACAAGUCAAAUCACUCAAUCGCUCAUUGAUCCAAAAACUUGAUCAACGGAACAAGUUACCCUAGGGAUAACAGCGCAAUCCUAUUCAAGAGUCCAUAUCGACAAUAGGGUUUACGACCUCGAUGUUGGAUCAGGACACCCAGAUGGUGCAACCGCUAUCAAA
This 501-nucleotide ribosomal RNA is filed under the name Tragelaphus scriptus (bushbuck). Its description in RNAcentral is "partial large subunit ribosomal RNA". It matches the Rfam family "Bacterial large subunit ribosomal RNA", at positions 1846 to 2569 of the family's 2925-position model. The record is from RNAcentral. Lineage: Eukaryota; Metazoa; Chordata; Mammalia; Artiodactyla; Bovidae.